GGGGGAAAGAAAGUGGGGCGGCAGGAGUGGCGGUGGGGAAGAGAGGCGGCUGGGCCUGGAAGCAGAGACUGGGGCAGAAGAGCGGGGGAGAGGUAACCGCCGGCCCCAAAGAGCGCACAGAUGAUCUGUGCGGGGCUGCUUUCAGUUACCAACAUCCUGGUUCCUGGUUGCAUUUUGCAACCCUGCCUCGAAAAACACUGCAGAAGCAAACAGCAGAAGAUAAUCUGUCCCUCCCAACACAGGACACACAUUUCAAACACAGUCAAAAAUGGACAAUAAAGAAUCACUGACCCAGAAUCCACUGUCAGCCACAGUACCUGCAUUGCGAUUUACGAGUGACUGACACAUCUCAAUUGACCAGCCACCAGGAGACCCAAGAUUUAAUUAUCCAGAGCUUUGGUCUGGAUACAUACAUCUUUGACACAUCAAGCCGAGCUGCCUUUCUGACCUGAUUUCUGAGGCAUCACACUCUUUUGCUGUUCAUGGUGUUCUUAUCACUAUUUUUGGCAACAUCCUUCUGCAAAAAUGCUCCCAUAAGGAAUAGUCUUCUGGGAAGUUUAUACUUCUCUGCUCCAUUUACAGACAUGGUGAACUUCACCUAUAGAUGUUCCAUGACACUCUCUACUAGUUAAUUCCUUCUGAUUUCUCUCAAAUCGUUUCUGCAAUCUCUUCCAUGCACAGCCCAUCUCAUACCAGGGCCUGAUGCACAGAGCUGUGUUUUGACAGCAGUGAUGAAACCCUUGAUGUACCACUUCUUUUGUUUAUAUGACCAAGCAAAUUUGCAGCACUUACUAGCAUAAUAAUAACUACUGUGGUCUCUCUUGAGGAUUGCCACCUGGCUGGUUUUAGCCCAGCUUGAGUCCUGACCUAUUUCUACUGCUUCCCAGAGGGUUUUAUUUUUAGCUCAGGUUCAGUGCAAGGCAAUCAAGGCUUCAACAUUUCCAAAUAUACAGAUAUAUGUAUAUGCUGCAAGUUUAGUCAAUUAAAUUGUUUGGAUAACCAAUUAAAACCUUGU
Hemicordylus capensis (graceful crag lizard) is the source of this 1015-nucleotide long non-coding RNA. RefSeq lists it as uncharacterized. The transcript has 3 exons. The record is from RefSeq and is a predicted model, not a curated record. Lineage: Eukaryota; Metazoa; Chordata; Lepidosauria; Squamata; Cordylidae.